This 254-nucleotide ribosomal RNA is filed under the name uncultured bacterium. RNAcentral's name for it is "partial 16S ribosomal RNA". It matches the Rfam family "Bacterial small subunit ribosomal RNA", at positions 524 to 776 of the family's 1533-position model. The record is from RNAcentral.
UACAGAGGUCCCAAGCGUUGUUCGGAUUCACUGGGCGUAAAGGGUGCGCAGGUGGGUUUGCAAGUUUGAUGUGAAAGCCCCGGGCUUAACCCGGGAAUGGCAUUGAAUACUGCAGAUCUGGAGGAUUGGAGGGGGGACUGGAAUUCUUGGUGUAGCAGUGAAAUGCGUAGAUAUCAAGAGGAACACCAGUAGGCGAAGGCGAGUCCCUGGACAAUACCUGACACUGAGGCACGAAAGCUAGGGGAGCAAACAGG